UACAGUGUAACAAUAACGUCUCUCUCGGGUCUCCCAGGCCCCGCGCACCCCAGCGCACCCCGCUCACAGGCCGGACACCUGCGUGGGGCCCUCGCGCCCGCCCUGAGCACCGACCGCCCCUGUGUCCCUCCAGCCCCGAAAUCGACCCUGGACCAAGCGCAAUGACGAGGUCCGAGAGACCGUGCAAGUGCCAGGAACAUCUCCCGGUGGUGGUCCCCGCGAUCCAGGCGCGGUUAACCUGGACUGCUGGAAGCUGGCAAGGUGGCCCAAGGGAGGUGCGGGAAGGUAGAGUCCCAUGGCUUCGCUUCUCACUCGCGGAGCUGGAUUGCUCACGUUACUCAGAUACAAUGUUUGAAUCAAGAGAAAAAGGAGCCUUGCAUUUCAGAGAACUUUUUGCUUAAGCGUUUCCCUGCCUAUGUCUAUUUGUCUUGCACAUCCAUGGAGGAUACCAUCAAUGACCAUCCCCAGUUUAAGAAAGAAAAAAGAAAAACUUUGUCAAGAUCUGUCAGCAAAUCAAGAUUUCUCUGAACUUUUCCCAAGGAAUCACUUCAUUGGCUCUUUUAGUCAUUCCACAAACACCUGUUGAGUAGACUGGGUAUCACACAGUUCCCUGAAUAUCAUAGGAUUUGCCCCAGAUGAACUUUUCUUUUAAAAUUAAAAAUGGCUUUGCUGGCCAGGUGCCUGGAGCUUGGAAC
Molecule: long non-coding RNA, 695 nt
Filed under: Marmota monax (woodchuck)
Lineage: Eukaryota; Metazoa; Chordata; Mammalia; Rodentia; Sciuridae
Source: RNAcentral